RNAcentral lists this transfer RNA (49 nucleotides) under Meloidogyne javanica (root-knot nematode). Its description in RNAcentral is "tRNA-Ser". The record is from RNAcentral. RNAcentral also lists the same sequence under 1 other name. Lineage: Eukaryota; Metazoa; Nematoda; Chromadorea; Rhabditida; Meloidogynidae.
UUUAUAGUAGGAAAGUUUUCUAAACUUUUUAUCUUUUUGAACUAUAAGU